This 159-nucleotide ribosomal RNA is filed under the name uncultured fungus. Its description in RNAcentral is "5.8S ribosomal RNA". It matches the Rfam family "5.8S ribosomal RNA". Rfam says of the family: 5.8S ribosomal RNA (5.8S rRNA) is a component of the large subunit of the eukaryotic ribosome. It is transcribed by RNA polymerase I as part of the 45S precursor that also contains 18S and 28S rRNA. The record is from RNAcentral. Lineage: Eukaryota; Fungi.
ACAACUUUCAACAACGGAUCUCUUGGCUCUCGCAUCGAUGAAGAACGCAGCGAAAUGCGAUAAGUAAUGUGAAUUGCAGAAUUCAGUGAAUCAUCGAAUCUUUGAACGCACCUUGCGCUCCUUGGUAUUCCGAGGAGCAUGCCUGUUUGAGUGUCACGU